GUUUGUACUUACUUAUAUUCUCCGAAGUGCAGUUAUGGCCUCUUAUUUAGACCUUGUGUAGGUGAAUAAAGUUACUGUUUUGCUGGAAACCUUUGCUGGAAGAACAAGACGCUGAAUGACAUGAAAGUGAGCGGUGUGUCGGCAGGUGGCCGCCCAGGUUCUGGGCUCAGUAGUGAUGUGUCGGCUGAAUUGAAAGCACCGACGGGGCAGUUGGAGACUGACAAGGAAGCAAAUGGUGGCCAGACUCUCCUUCCACCACAGUGCUGCUUGAGAAAUACUGAAAUUCCUGCCAAAUCUAACAGCAGAAACAACCCCAAAACAAAAGACUGCUGCUUCCCAUUGCCCAGCUCACACAUCCCCUGCCUCGCUGCACAGCGCCUCCAAAGUAAUCGACGCAAGCUAGUACUCCUGGAAUAAGUGAUGCUCAUUUGGUCGCCAAGACUACAAGUAAAUAUUGGACACACACACACAGGCAUCAUGACUCCCAAAGCGCCCUCUUUCCCUGUGUAUUUUGUGAGUUGCUAAUAUGAGGGUAAUAAUUUGUCAUUAAGGUUUAAUUUUUGUUGGCACCUUUGCUCUGGAUGUUUAAUUUGAGUCUUAAAUAAAC
Amphiprion ocellaris (clown anemonefish) is the source of this 607-nucleotide long non-coding RNA. NCBI's taxonomy places the organism in Eukaryota, Metazoa, Chordata, Actinopteri, Pomacentridae. The record is from Ensembl.